Molecule: ribosomal RNA, 407 nt
Filed under: uncultured Entrophospora
Lineage: Eukaryota; Fungi; Glomeromycota; Glomeromycetes; Entrophosporales; Entrophosporaceae
Description: SSU rRNA
Rfam family: Eukaryotic small subunit ribosomal RNA
Source: RNAcentral
AGCAGCCGCGGUAAUUCCAGCUCCAAUAGCGUAUAUUAAAGUUGUUGCAGUUAAAAAGCUCGUAGUUGAAUUUCGGGAUUGACGUAAUGGUCAUGCCUUAAGGGGUAUGAACUGUUACUGUUGAUUUCUCACCUUCUGGAGAAACUUGAUGUCCUUUAUUGGGUGUCUUGCGGAUCCAGGACCUUUACCUUGAAAAAAUUAGAGUGUUUAAAGCAGGCAUUUUUGCUCGAAUACAUUAGCAUGGAAUAAUAGAAUAGGACGGCAUGGUUCUAUUUUGUUGGUUUCUAGGAUCACCGUAAUGAUUAAUAGGGAUAGUUGGGGGCAUUAGUAUUCAAUUAGUCAGAGGUGAAAUUCUUGGAUUUAUUGAAGACUAACUACUGCGAAAGCAUUUGCCAAGGAUGUUUUCU